This 496-nucleotide ribosomal RNA is filed under the name uncultured bacterium. RNAcentral describes it as "partial 16S ribosomal RNA". It matches the Rfam family "Bacterial small subunit ribosomal RNA", at positions 28 to 507 of the family's 1533-position model. The record is from RNAcentral.
GACGAACGCUGGCGGCGUGCCUAAUACAUGCAAGUUGAGCGCUGAAGGUUGGUACUUGUACCAACUGGAUGAGCAGCGAACGGGUGAGUAACGCGUGGGGAAUCUGCCUUUGAGCGGGGGACAACAUUUGGAAACGAAUGCUAAUACCGCAUAAAAACUUUAAACACAAGUUUUAAGUUUGAAAGAUGCAAUUGCAUCACUCAAAGAUGAUCCCGCGUUGUAUUAGCUAGUUGGUGAGGUAAGGCUCACCAAGGCGAUGAUACAUAGCCGACCUGUGAGGGUGAACGGCCACAUUGGGAAUGGGACACGGCCCAAACUGCUGAGGGAGGCAGCAGUAGGGAAUCUUCGGCAAUGGGCGAAAGUCAGACCGAGCAACGCCGGGUGAGUGGAGAAGGUUUUCGGAUCGUAAAAAUCGGUUGGUGGAGGAGAACGUUGGUGGGAGUGGAAAGCUCAUAAAGUGACGGUAACUACCCAGAAAGGUACGGCUAACUACGUG